This 21-nucleotide unclassified non-coding RNA is filed under the name Dictyostelium discoideum. Lineage: Eukaryota; Evosea; Eumycetozoa; Dictyosteliales; Dictyosteliaceae. The record is from RNAcentral.
AAACACUAGCUUCAACACUAA